Molecule: small RNA, 457 nt
Filed under: Pongo abelii (Sumatran orangutan)
Lineage: Eukaryota; Metazoa; Chordata; Mammalia; Primates; Hominidae
Description: processed transcript
Source: RNAcentral
GUCCCUAAGGGGCAGCCUCUCGCGCCUACUCCAGACGCGAGUGCAUUCCAUCCUGAAGAAAUCCGUCCACUCCGUGGCUGUGAUAGGAGCCCCGUUCUCACAAGGGCAGAAAAGAAAAGGAGUGGAGCAUGGUCCCGCUGCCAUAAGAGAAGCUGGCUUGAUGAAAAGGCUCUCCAGUUUGGGCUGCCACCUAAAAGACUUUGGAGAUUUGAGUUUUACUCCAGUCCCCAAAGAUGAUCUCUACAACAACCUGAUAGUGAAUCCACGCUCAGUGGGUCUUGCCAACCAGGAACUGGCUGAGGUGGUUAGCAGAGCUGUGUCGGAUGGCUACAGCUGUGUCACACUGGGAGGAGACCACAGGUACCACAACUCCCAGGAUUUUCCUGGAUCAAACCUUGUAUCUCUUCUGCAAGUAUUGUGUAUAUUGGUCUGAGAGACGUGGACCCUCCUGAACAGU